UACGUAGGGUGCAAGCGUUAAUCGGAAUUACUGGGCGUAAAGCGUGCGCAGGCGGUUUUGUAAGUCUGUCGUGAAAGCCCAGGGCUCAACCUGGGAAUUGCGAUGGAGACUGCAAGGCUUGAAUCUGGCAGAGGGGGGUAGAAUUCCACGUGUAGCAGUGAAAUGCGUAGAGAUGUGGAGGAACACCGAUGGCGAAGGCAGCCCCCUGGGUCAAGAUUGACGCUCAUGCACGAAAGCGUGGGGAGCAAACAGG
Molecule: ribosomal RNA, 253 nt
Filed under: uncultured bacterium
Lineage: Bacteria
Description: partial 16S ribosomal RNA
Rfam family: Bacterial small subunit ribosomal RNA
Source: RNAcentral